This 497-nucleotide ribosomal RNA is filed under the name uncultured bacterium. Its description in RNAcentral is "partial 16S ribosomal RNA". It matches the Rfam family "Bacterial small subunit ribosomal RNA", at positions 28 to 507 of the family's 1533-position model. The record is from RNAcentral.
GACGAACGCUGGCGGCGUGCCUAAUACAUGCCAGUAGAACGCUGAAGAGAGGAGCUUGCUCUUCUUGGAUGAGUUGCGAACGGGUGAGUAACGCGUAGGUAACCUGCCUUGUAGCGGGGGAUAACUAUUGGAAACGAUAGCUAAUACCGCAUAACAAUGGAUGACACAUGUCAUUUAUUUGAAAGGGGCAAUUGCUCCACUACAAGAUGGACCUGCGUUGUAUUAGCUAGUAGGUGAGGUAAUGGCUCACCUAGGCGACGAUACAUAGCCGACCUGAGAGGGUGGUCGGCCACACUGGGACUGAGACAGGGCCCAGACUCCUACGGGAGGCAGCAGUAGGGAAUCUUCGGCAAUGGGGGGAACCCUGACCGAGCAACGCCGCGUGAGUGAAGAAGGUUUUCGGAUCGUAAAGCUCUGUUGUAAGUCAAGAACGGGUGUGAGAGUGGAAAGUUCACACUGUGACGGUAGCUUACCAGAAAGGGACGGCUAACUACGUG